Molecule: ribosomal RNA, 482 nt
Filed under: uncultured bacterium
Lineage: Bacteria
Description: partial 16S ribosomal RNA
Rfam family: Bacterial small subunit ribosomal RNA
Source: RNAcentral
AUUGAACGCUGGCGGCAUGCUUUACACAUGCAAGUCGAACGGUAACAGGCCGCAAGGUGCUGACGAGUGGCGAACGGGUGAGUAAUGCAUCGGAACGUGCCCAGUCGUGGGGGAUAACUACUCGAAAGAGUAGCUAAUACCGCAUACGAUCUAUGGAUGAAAGCGGGGGACCGUAAGGCCUCGCGCGAUUGGAGCGGCCGAUGUGAGAUUAGGUAGUUGGUGGGGUAAAGGCUCACCAAGCAAACGAUCUGUAGCUGGUCUGAGAGGACGACCAGCCACACUGCGUCUGAGGCACGACCCAGACUACUACGGGAGGCAGCAGUGGGGAAUUUUGGACGAUAGGCGCAAGCCUGAUCAAGCAAUGCCGCGUGCAGGAAGAAGGCCUUCGGGUUGUAAACUGCUUUUGUACGGAACGAAACGGCUCUGGUUAAUACCCGGGGCUAAUGACGGUACCGUAAGAAUAAGCACCGGCUAACUACGUG